Molecule: ribosomal RNA, 974 nt
Filed under: Lactiplantibacillus plantarum
Lineage: Bacteria; Bacillati; Bacillota; Bacilli; Lactobacillales; Lactobacillaceae
Description: bacterial SSU rRNA
Rfam family: Bacterial small subunit ribosomal RNA
Source: RNAcentral
GGAAGGGGGAGGGGUUAGGGGGGGGGGCUAUCUGCAGUCGACGAACUCUGGUAUUGAUUGGUGCUUGCAUCAUGAUUUACAUUUGAGUGAGUGGCGAACUGGUGAGUAACACGUGGGAAACCUGCCCAGAAGCGGGGGAUAACACCUGGAAACAGAUGCUAAUACCGCAUAACAACUUGGACCGCAGGGUCCGAGUUUGAAAGAUGGCUUCGGCUAUCACUUUUGGAUGGUCCCGCGGCGUAUUAGCUAGAUGGUGGGGUAACGGCUCACCAUGGCAAUGAUACGUAGCCGACCUGAGAGGGUAAUCGGCCACAUUGGGACUGAGACACGGCCCAAACUCCUACGGGAGGCAGCAGUAGGGAAUCUUCCACAAUGGACGAAAGUCUGAUGGAGCAACGCCGCGUGAGUGAAGAAGGGUUUCGGCUCGUAAAACUCUGUUGUUAAAGAAGAACAUAUCUGAGAGUAACUGUUCAGGUAUUGACGGUAUUUAACCAGAAAGCCACGGCUAACUACGUGCCAGCAGCCGCGGUAAUACGUAGGUGGCAAGCGUUGUCCGGAUUUAUUGGGCGUAAAGCGAGCGCAGGCGGUUUUUUAAGUCUGAUGUGAAAGCCUUCGGCUCAACCGAAGAAGUGCAUCGGAAACUGGGAAACUUGAGUGCAGAAGAGGACAGUGGAACUCCAUGUGUAGCGGUGAAAUGCGUAGAUAUAUGGAAGAACACCAGUGGCGAAAGCGGCUGUCUGGUCUGUAACUGACGCUGAUGCUCGAAAGUAUGGGUAGCAAACAGGAUUAGAUACCCUGGUAGUCCAUACCGUAAACGAUGAAUGCUAAGUGUUGGAGGGUUUCCGCCCUUCAGUGCUGCAGCUAACGCAUUAAGCAUUCCGCCUGGGGAGUACGGCCGCAAGGCUGAAACUCAAAGGAAUUGACGGGGGCCCGCACAAGCGGUGGAGCAUGUGGUUUAAUUCGAAGCUACGCGA